Mytilus californianus (California mussel) is the source of this 598-nucleotide long non-coding RNA. RefSeq lists it as uncharacterized. Lineage: Eukaryota; Metazoa; Mollusca; Bivalvia; Mytilida; Mytilidae. The record is from RefSeq and is a predicted model, not a curated record. The transcript has 4 exons.
UACAUCGAUAUUCGUCAGACAAUAAUGUUGAUGCAGACAAAGAACACACUAACAUUUCGUAGUUUCGAAAUAUAAAUGUAUAUGAUUAAACAUAUCUUUUGAAGCACAAAUCAAAGGAAUACAAGCUACUUGAAGUUUGAUCGGAUCAGAUCAACAUGAAUUGCAAGGUGAUGUUUUUGUCUGAAUUGGUGAUUUUGUUCUGCCUUAUUGGUCAAGGUCUACAAUUCAAGCUUAUCGUUUCAACUUAUGGUAAGAUUAAAGAAGUAAACUUGCAGACUAGGGCCGUCACACAUCUUUUGACCGAUCUGGGAAGUGAAAUUAAUUCUAUGGAUUAUGAUUAUGAAAAUGAAUACAUUUAUUUUCCAAGAUACAGUAAAAACGACAUUUUAAGAUUUCAUUAUCCAUCAAACUAUACGUACCAGACAGAAAAUGUCACAAUGGCAAAUAACCCUAUAGGUAUAGCAAUUGACCCGGUAUACAACCAUGUGUAUUGGAUAGAACGAUAUACGGGAAAGCUUUAUCAGAGUAAUAUGGAUGGGUCAAAUCAAUUGUUAAUAUUACAGGAUGAUCCAAUGUUUGCUUUAACAUUAGAUGUUAC